Molecule: ribosomal RNA, 329 nt
Filed under: uncultured eukaryote
Lineage: Eukaryota
Description: partial 18S ribosomal RNA
Rfam family: Eukaryotic small subunit ribosomal RNA
Source: RNAcentral
CCCUUAGAUGUUCUGGGCCGCACGCGCGCUACACUGAUGCAUUCAACGAGUCUAAAACCUGCUCUGAUAGGGGUGGGUAAUCUUUUGAAUGUGCAUCGUGAUUGGGAUAGAUGAUUGCAAUUUUUCAUCUUCAACGGGGAAUGCCUAGUAAACGCAAGUCAUCAGCUUGCAUUGAUUACGUCCCUGCCCUUUGUACACACCGCCCGUCGCUCCUACCGAUUGAAUGAUCCGAUGAAUAUCAUGGAUUGAGGAUGCAAGUAGGUUCGCCUAUCUUCAUCUUCGAGAAGUGAAGUAAAUCUUAUCAUUUAGAGGAAGGAGAAGUCGUAACA